Long non-coding RNA from Pollicipes pollicipes, 275 nucleotides. RefSeq lists it as uncharacterized. The record is from RefSeq and is a predicted model, not a curated record. The transcript is spliced from 3 exons. NCBI's taxonomy places the organism in Eukaryota, Metazoa, Arthropoda, Thecostraca, Pollicipedomorpha, Pollicipedidae.
GCGCGCGCCGGUGUCCGGCAGGCGGGCGCCGACCAGGCCGGCCUGGUCGACCUCAUGGAGGACGCCAUGCAGGAGGCCAGCCCGCCGAGGCCGGCUCCUGCACAGGUGAACCAGGGUCCAGUGGAGGUGUUCUUCUUCCCGAAUGAGCCACAUGUGGCGGCGCCCCCACCUCCUCCGCAGCUGGCCACGGAGGCUGUGCCGUCCAACACGGUGAUGGCGACCAUGGCCGAGGCGCUGGCCGACAUCGACGACGAGUUCGACGACGCCGACAGGGC